Molecule: unclassified non-coding RNA, 195 nt
Filed under: soil metagenome
Description: partial contains 5.8S ribosomal RNA, internal transcribed spacer 2, and large subunit ribosomal RNA
Source: RNAcentral
AACGCACGAGACCUGCGGACCUGCGGAAGGAUCAUUACCGAGUUUUCAACUCCCAAACCCCUGUGAACAUACCAUUUUGUUGCCUCGGCGGUGCCUGUUCCGACAGCCCGCCAGAGGACCCCAAACCCAAACUUCCUUGAGUGAGUCUUCUGAGUAACCGAUUAAAUCAAUCAAAACUUUCAACAACGGAUCUCU